RNAcentral lists this transfer RNA (78 nucleotides) under Leucoloma humbertii. Its description in RNAcentral is "partial tRNA-Leu". Lineage: Eukaryota; Viridiplantae; Streptophyta; Bryopsida; Dicranales; Dicranaceae. The record is from RNAcentral.
CCUUAGUAGAAAAAUUUACUAAAUGCUCCUCUACCCCCAAACCUAUGAAUUUGACAUAAGUUUCUUUAUGUUAAGAUG